RNAcentral lists this long non-coding RNA (2041 nucleotides) under Homo sapiens (human). Its description in RNAcentral is "HSALNT0324074". Lineage: Eukaryota; Metazoa; Chordata; Mammalia; Primates; Hominidae. The record is from RNAcentral.
UUAUAAAAUGCAACACUCUCAUCCAAAGAAGACUAAUUUUAACAUUUUGAUGUAUAUGAGUCCAGACUGUGCCAUACGUUCAUUUGCCUACAAGUCCUAAUAUAUAAUAUGCGUUGGUGCUUUUUGUUGUUGUUUUUUUUGGGGGGAUAGUUUUUGAAGAAGCCAAAAAUUUUUUAAAAAGUUCUAUUUAUAAGGUAGAUGACUCUGAGGUUUGUUCUUUCUCUGAGUCUGCGUCGGCUCGCCUUCCUUGAUUCUACGACGUUUUGUCACAGUUCCACAGUCCCGUUUGUAGAUCGUGUGGGUUAUUCUUCACCCCACUCUGUCCACUUGGGGGCUAUCUCAGUCCAUUUCAGAUCUGAGACUGGACGGAGGCCGACACCCGUUUCCAAGCCAAGUCUUCCUGUGCGGCCGACAUUCAUCAGAUCACCCUCCCUCUGUGAAACGAGGUCUCCUAACGGCACCCCCUGACUUUUUUUCGACACCCUCAUACAUUUGGCCCUCGGUAUCCACAGUGUUCCCCACCGAUGGAUUCAAUCAACCAGGAAUCGAAAAUAUCCUUUAAUAAAUUGCAUCUGUACUGAACACGUACAGACUUUUCCUUACCAUUAUUCCCUAAACAACACAGUAUAACAAUUAUUUACAUUGCAUUAGGUAUUAGAAAUAAUCCAGAGAAGAUUUAAAGUACACGGAGGAUGUGCGUAGGCGAUAUGCAAAUAUUACGCCAUUUUAUAUCAGGGACUUGAGCAUUCCGGAUUUGGUAUCAGCACAGGUCCUGGAACCAAUUCCCCAAGGAUGUGGAAGGAGGACUGUAUCAUUCAGGAAAAAGUACAAUCCUCUGCGGUGCUGCCCCCAGCUCCCCGCCUUCACCACUGCGCCUGCGCCUCCGAGAACGGACUACAACUCCCAGGAUGCACCGCGCCCGCCACCGCCCUGGCAGCCCGACUUCCUGCUGGAGGUUUCCUGUGGCUUGGGGCUCCGCCCGGUAUGGGGAAAGUUUAAGGCGGAAGAGCCCUCGUUUGUCGGCUGCUUGGGAAGUCUGAGGAUUACUGGGACUAACAGGACUUCAGCUGGGGCUUCAACGUGUGGUGUGGGCUUCCUGACACCACGGCCACUGGUUUCCAAGAGUUUCAACAAUAUUUUCAUCAUAUUUAUUGAAGGCCUCACUGACAGACUUCUCAAGGCCCCUCUACCUUCUAUUCGCUGCCUGGCCCCAAAGCCAGUGCCACACAUUUUAGGUUUUUAACUGCAGCAGCACCUAUGAUGUUUCCAAAAUCUGUAUCAUUAAAGUUUGAUCAGAGAAGCAAAACCACCUUGAGCAAAACAAGGAAUUUAUUAAAGAGAUUAGGAUACACAUUGUUAUGAAAGCUGCAACCUGCUGCCCCUGUGUCCAGAAGUGGGCCUGAAGUCAGCAGGGCUGGCAAAUGGAUGUGCAGUGGGAGAGAGUAGGCGUGAGCUGCACCUGCAGGGAGGAGAUGGAACUCCUGUGGAUGGACUGAAACUGAUGUCUUCCACGUCAGCCUCUCAGGCCUCCAACACUCCAGCGCUGAUGAUGAAGAUGACCUGCAGAGGAGCUGGUGCCCUUCACCAUGGAAUUGCUCAUAAACCCAAGAUUCAGUGAAGCUGAAGAAGCAGUUCUGGUGGGAGCUGGAGGAACUGCAGGCACAGCUGCUGCCCUGUACCAAUACAUUGAGCCAGUGGCUGCCUGGCAUUGUGUGUGAGCCACCACAGCGCCUGGCCCUACACAGACUUUGACUGUAAAUAUGACUGCUGUUUCACUUCUGCCUUCCAAAUUUUGCUCAGAUUUUCUGAGAAACAUAGUUCAGCUUAGGUACAUUGACACAGUACAAAGCCACCGCAGUGGCUGGUUAGGGAGGGAUUAUGAAUGCAGGCUGAGAAUGCACGGGAAGCGUUUGUCUAUUUAUAGAGUAGGUACCAUUCAAGGAUUUAUGUGAAUCAGGUGCAAAGAACUCACACAAAGAUGGGGAAAGUUAGUACUUAGAAAUCAGUGAUACUAGAUAACCAAUAAAUAAAAAUAAACUUA